GUGGGAACAGUUCAGUUGGGAGAACAUUAGAUUAAAGAUCUGAAGGUCGCGUGUUUGAUUCACGUUCAUCGAACUCACA
This 79-nucleotide transfer RNA is filed under the name Glycine max (soybean). RNAcentral describes it as "tRNA-Phe". The stretch from base 9 to 65 matches the Rfam family "tRNA", at positions 9 to 63 of the family's 71-position model. Rfam says of the family: Transfer RNA (tRNA) molecules are approximately 80 nucleotides in length. Their secondary structure includes four short double-helical elements and three loops (D, anti-codon, and T loops). Further hydrogen bonds mediate the characteristic L-shaped molecular structure. tRNAs have two regions of fundamental functional importance: the anti-codon, which is responsible for specific mRNA codon recognition, and the 3' end, to which the tRNAs corresponding amino acid is attached (by aminoacyl-tRNA synthetases). tRNAs cope with the degeneracy of the genetic code in two manners: having more than one tRNA (with a specific anti-codon) for a particular amino acid; and 'wobble' base-pairing, i.e. permitting non-standard base-pairing at the 3rd anti-codon position. The record is from RNAcentral. Lineage: Eukaryota; Viridiplantae; Streptophyta; Magnoliopsida; Fabales; Fabaceae.